Molecule: transfer RNA, 85 nt
Filed under: Treponema sp.
Lineage: Bacteria; Pseudomonadati; Spirochaetota; Spirochaetia; Treponematales; Treponemataceae
Description: tRNA-Ser
Rfam family: tRNA
About the family: Transfer RNA (tRNA) molecules are approximately 80 nucleotides in length. Their secondary structure includes four short double-helical elements and three loops (D, anti-codon, and T loops).
Source: RNAcentral
GGAGCGGUGUCCGAGUGGUUGAAGGAGGCGGUUUCGAAAACCGUUGAGCCGCAAGGUUCCGGGGGUUCGAAUCCCCCCUGCUCCG